RNAcentral lists this ribosomal RNA (752 nucleotides) under uncultured bacterium. RNAcentral describes it as "bacterial SSU rRNA". It matches the Rfam family "Bacterial small subunit ribosomal RNA", at positions 8 to 800 of the family's 1533-position model. The record is from RNAcentral.
AGAGUUUGAUCAUGGCUCAGGAUGAACGCUGGCGGUAUGCUUUACACAUGCAAGUCGUACGAGAGUUUUUAACUCAAGUGGCGGACGGGUGAGUAACACGUAAGAAUUUACCUUUAGGAGGGGGGUAACAACUGGAAACGGUUGCUAAUACCCCAUAUGCUUUCGAGUGAAAUGGAUUUUUCCGCCUAGAGAGAAGCUUGCGGCUGAUUAGCUUGUUGGUGAGGUAAUGGCUCACCAAGGCGACGAUCAGUAUCUGGUUUGAGAGGACGAUCAGACACACUGGAACUGAGACACGGUCCAGACUCCUACGGGAGGCAGCAGUGGGGAAUUUUCCGCAAUGGGCGAAAGCCUGACGGAGCAAUACCGCGUGAGGGAUGACGGCCUAUGGGUUGUAAACCUCUUUUUCCAGGGAGGAAUCAAUGACGUGUACCUGAAGAAUAAGCAUCGGCUAACUCCGUGCCAGCAGCCGCGGUAAGACGGAGGAUGCAAGUGUUAUCCGGAAUCACUGGGCGUAAAGCGUCUGUAGGUGGUUUAAUAAGUCAACUGUUAAAUCUCGAGGCCCAACCUCGAAAUCGCAGUCGAAACUAUUAGACUAGAGUAUAGUAGGGGUAAAGGGAAUUUCCAGUGGAGCGGUGAAAUGCGUAGAGAUUGGAAAGAACACCGAUGGCGAAGGCACUUUACUGGGCUAUUACUAACACUCAGAGACGAAAGCUAGGGUAGCAAAUGGGAUUAGAUACCCCAGUAGUCCUAGC